Molecule: small RNA, 69 nt
Filed under: Arabidopsis thaliana (thale cress)
Lineage: Eukaryota; Viridiplantae; Streptophyta; Magnoliopsida; Brassicales; Brassicaceae
Description: ATSL090000
Source: RNAcentral
CCUUUUCAAAGCUUCGAUGGUGUAGCCGAAGUUCAUAUGAGUCUUUGGCUCUGUAUCUUCUAGCAUCGA